This is a non-coding RNA of Arabidopsis thaliana (thale cress), 123 nucleotides long. NCBI's taxonomy places the organism in Eukaryota, Viridiplantae, Streptophyta, Magnoliopsida, Brassicales, Brassicaceae. The record is from RefSeq.
AAAAUUAUGUCCUUCCUGCCAUAUUAUAUUUAGGAAAAAAUAAUAUCGUAUUAUACAUAUAAACAGAAGCCUCUUAAAUAAUUUUUUCCUAAAUAUAUAAUAUGGCAGGAAAGACAUAAUUUU